RNAcentral lists this long non-coding RNA (452 nucleotides) under Vombatus ursinus (common wombat). RNAcentral describes it as "lncRNA (ENSVURG00010001102.1)". The record is from RNAcentral. Lineage: Eukaryota; Metazoa; Chordata; Mammalia; Diprotodontia; Vombatidae.
GCUGCCCCCCCCCCCCCCAACUUAGUGUCCAGGGGGCUCUGGCAGGGUCUGACUGCCCCUCAACCCCCUCAGGUAAGAUGCAGCCCUGGCCCAACCUGGAAGAAGAAAUCGACUUACUGGCUAACAUGCUGGCCCAUCAAGACCCUGUCCCCCAUCGCCAGGAUACUGUCCCCCAGCGCUUCCGCUGGCCUGCCACCCUGGUGUCCCCAGGACAGGAGCCUGAUACCCCAUCCCCUCAGGGCGCUCAAGUUCCCACCGUCAGAGCCUCUCAUUCAUCUUCGAGGCCUGUGGAGAUGUCACCUGUGGAUCCCCCACACCCAUCUAAUGAUGUCCUCGUUCUCAUGAUGAUCGUGGUCUGUGCAGUGGCUGGGCUCUCGGCGCUGGUUGUAGCUGUUGUCUGCUGGUGCAGGUGAGACCCUGGUGAGACCCCCCACCUCCUAUGGGCAUGCACC